RNAcentral lists this ribosomal RNA (496 nucleotides) under uncultured bacterium. Its description in RNAcentral is "partial 16S ribosomal RNA". It matches the Rfam family "Bacterial small subunit ribosomal RNA", at positions 29 to 507 of the family's 1533-position model. The record is from RNAcentral.
AUGAACGCUGGCGGCGUGCCUCAUCCCUGCCAGUCGAGCGAACGGACGAGAAGCUUGCUUCUCUGAUGUUAGCGGCGGACGGGUGAGUAACACGUGGAUAACCUACCUAUAAGACUGGGAUAACUUCGGGAAACCGGAGCUAAUACCGGAUGAUAUUUUGAACCGCAUGGUUCAAAAGUGAAAGACGGUCUUGCUGUCACUUAUAGAUGGAUCCGCGCUGCAUUAGCUAGUUGGUAAGGUAACGGCUUACCAAGGCAACGAUGCAUAGCCGACCUGAGAGGGUGAUCGGCCACACUGGAACUGAGACACGGUCCAAACUCCUACGGGAGGCAGCAGUAGGGAAUCUUCCGCAAUGGGCGAAAGCCUGACGGAGCAACGCCGCGUGAGUGAUGAAGGUCUUCGGAUCGUAAAACUCUGUUAUUAGGGAAGAACAUAUGUGUAAGUAACUGUGCACAUCUUGACGGUACCUAAUCAGAAAGCCACGGCUAACUACGUG